Molecule: ribosomal RNA, 485 nt
Filed under: uncultured fungus
Lineage: Eukaryota; Fungi
Description: eukaryotic LSU rRNA
Rfam family: 5.8S ribosomal RNA (bases 65-217)
Source: RNAcentral
UAUGACUUAGCUAGAACCUUUUUAACACUAGUACAAAGGAAUGUAAACAAAACAACAACAAAAAACUUUACAACAACGGAUCUCUUGGCUCUCGCAUCGAUGAAGAACGCAGCGAAAUGUGAUAGUAAUGUGAAUUGCAGAAUUCAGUGAAUCAUCGAAUCUUUGAACGCACCUUGCGCUCUCUGGUAUUCCGGAGAGCAUGCCUGUUUGAGUGUCAUGAACUCUUCAACCCACCAGUUUCUUGUUAGACUGUGUUGGUGUUUGGUUUCUGAACGUUGCCUGGUUCCUCGGAACUCUCGGCUCGUUUUAAAUGUAUUAGCAUCUCAAUUUCGAAAUUUGGAUUGACUCAGUGUAAUAGACUAUUCGCUGAGGACACCCUUUGGGGUGGCCGAAUAUUAGAUCACGAUUGGUGCUUACAGACCUCUAUCUAGUCAACUCUUUUAAGAUUAGACCUCAGAUCAGGCAGGAUUACCCGCUGAACUUAA